Molecule: RNA transcript, 2312 nt
Organism: Cotesia glomerata
Lineage: Eukaryota; Metazoa; Arthropoda; Insecta; Hymenoptera; Braconidae
Gene name: RNA-binding protein 1-like
Exons: 7
Source: RefSeq, a predicted model, not a curated record
UCGAAUAAAAAAACCUCCAUUUUAGAUUUAACACUUCUAUUAAACACACUCAAGACCUGAAGUUUGGAUCUGUUUAAUUUAAAAUUUAAUUGUGAUAAAUAAAAUUUUUAACAUCAGAAUUUAGUUUUUCACGUCUUAAAUACUCGUUACAAUAAGUACACACAAUGUCGCGUUAUCGCGAGUGGGAUUUAUCAUGCAAAGUGUACGUCGGUGAUUUAGGCAGCAGUGCUAGCAAGCAUGAGAUUGAGAAUGCAUUCAGUAAAUACGGACCCCUUAGGAAUGUUUGGGUGGCUAGGAAUCCACCGGGCUUCGCUUUUGUUGAGUUCGAGGACCCUAGAGAUGCUGAAGAUGCUGUUCGAGGCCUUCAUGGAACGAGAUGCUGUGGCACAAGAGUAAGAGUCGAAAUGUCAUCAGGAAGAAGUCGCCGUGGAGGCGGAGGAGGUCGUAGACCGGGUCCACGUUACUCUAGGUCGCGAUCCCGCAGUCCUCGUAGAAAAUCAAUUGGCCGGUACCCCAGGUCGCUGUCCAAGAGCCCAAAGAGAUCCCCAGUCACAAGAUACUCCAGGUCAUCGUUCAUCGUUCGUUGAAUCUUGAGAUUGAAUCAUAAAUAAGCGCAUCAGUUAUUAAUGAUAUUUUAAAGCUAGUGUGUCUUCCUGAUAAUAAUAAUAUAAUAUAAAUAAUUAUUUAUAAUUUAUAAUUUAUUUUGGUAGUUAAAGCAAUUUAUCAUAGCGUUAAUUAGAUUGUAGAUUUUUAUUUAAAUUCAGAAUCCCAACACAUGAUGUCUCAUUUGCAUUAGAGUGGGCAGUCUAGGAUCAUCAAUAGUUGAAUUAAUAAUAUUAAAUAAAAAAAUGAAUUUAUUAUUUAUUUAUUUUGAAUAAUAAAAUAAUAAAAAAUAAAAAAAAUAAAAUUUAUGCAAAUAGUGGCACGGAGUAUGAAUACGUUGAUUGUUAUAAUGGUAAAACUGACCGUUACAGAUUCUACCAGUGUCAACUCCUAGUUCUACUCGUCUCCCCGCCACUACUACUACUACUUCUACUACAGCCACCGUGAACAAUAAAGCCUAUCAAUCGAAACAGAACUUAAAAAUAAAAAAACUAAACAAAUGAGUUUAAGUAAAAGCUAAACAAAAAAAAUCUAAUAGAAUAAAUAAAAAAUAGCCUGCCUGCCCACUAACUUCCCACCAGUCACCAUCAGCCACCAACCAAGCCACCGAUAGCAGCCAGUCGUCCGUCAGAUCAGUCAGUCAGUCAGUCAGACAGUCCGUUGCUGUCCGUCAGAGUACGUCAAUUACCCUUCAAUAAGCCAACUUCGGGCUACCGCAACUCUUCUAAGUCGUCUAGGAGCAUCGUUAUCCAUCAAUCAGUCAAUCAAUCAGACAAGCCAACGCGAUAUGAAUGCUAAGAUCAAAAUAUUCAGCGCGUAUCGUCCCAACUUCUACUACUACUACUACUAUUACUGCUACCGUCAACCGCAGCAUUUUAUUAGCUGAAUAACAAACAAUAUAUCUAUAUCACUGCGACCGCAUCCAAACGUCGGCGAUCGAGCAAUGCAAUAAUGAUCACCUACACAACCAUCCUAAAUUUUCACCCAACCAAGUACCACCAACCAUCACCACCAACCACCAAUACUACUACUACUACCACCACUACCACAUGCUCACAGUUGUUUUGGGUCACGGUCCCGCAGUCCUCGCAGAAGAUCUUUGACACGCAGUCGUAGCCGAGACCGUCGUUCCCGCUCGGAGUCUCGCGACAGACGGUACUAAUAAAUAUAAUAAAUAUCGAUGAUAAUCAAUGAUUUAAUAUUCAAGGUCAUUUUUAUUAUUAUUGAUUAUUCAAUUACAGUUAAGUGCUAUCAUCGAUCAAUAAUAAAGGACGGAUUAAAAUUGCAAUUAUCAAUUAAAUUAAUUGAUUAAUUAAUUAUUAUAUAUAAUACGCUCACGUUUGUGUAUUUAAGCUCACUACGUAUCACAUUAAUUAUAAAUAACAAAAACAAUAAUUACGAUAUUAAAACUGUGUGUUAAUAAUUACGAUUUUAUUAUACAAGGUACAGCGAUUUUUCCAUAUGUUUAAAAUCAGUAGCUUCGAUUAGAUUUGUACAUUUUUUUUUUUUUACGUAUUUGUGAGCUUAUUUUUUUAUUGCCGUAGGGUCUGACUAAAUAAUUAUACAUAAUUUGGCUUUACUUUUACGCGGACAGAGAAAUUAUUUUUCUUCUUUCAUAACAGUUGAUCAGUCUUAUAUUGUGGUAUUAACUUGUAUUAUUUUGUAUUCUAUCAGUUAAGGAUAUUCCAAUAAAAAAUUGCUUAUAUGUA